UUUCCGUAGGUGAACCUGCGGAAGGAUCAUUACUGAGUGAGGGCCCUCUGGGUCCAACCUCCCACCCGUGUUUAUUAUACCUUGUUGCUUCGGUGAGCCCGCCUCACGGCCGCCGGGGGGCAUCUGCCCCCGGGCCCGCGCCCACCGAAGACACCUAGAACUCUGUAAGAAGAUUGCAGUCUGAGCAAAAACUAAAUAAGUUAAAACUUUCAACAACGGAUCUCUUGGUUCCG
RNAcentral lists this unclassified non-coding RNA (233 nucleotides) under plant metagenome. RNAcentral's name for it is "partial contains small subunit ribosomal RNA, internal transcribed spacer 1, and 5.8S ribosomal RNA". The record is from RNAcentral.